Hirundo rustica (Barn swallow) is the source of this 903-nucleotide long non-coding RNA. RefSeq lists it as uncharacterized. Lineage: Eukaryota; Metazoa; Chordata; Aves; Passeriformes; Hirundinidae. The transcript is spliced from 3 exons. The record is from RefSeq and is a predicted model, not a curated record.
ACCACCCCCGUUCCCGGGCAGCCUCUCCCAGGGAGAGGGGCGGGAUGCCAAAAGCGCGAGGAGCUCAGCGAGGCUUGGGUGAAAAUCCCGGGAUGUGCUCAUCGCUCUCGGGUUUCCUGUCCCCGUUUGACCAGGGCUGGGAGCUUGGAGCAGACCCAGGCGCUGCAGGGAGGAAGGAAACCCAAGAAAUUCGAUUUUCAUGGGAGGUGAGAGUGAGACCCGGCAGUAGCUGAGCACGGAGGGUGCCAAGGAGCUGAAAUGUCAAAAUCCAAGGAGUGAUGCCCAGUGGUGACCCGUGGAGGAGGCUGGGGAUGUAAAGUCCCGAUUUAUUUUUUUUUUUAAUUAUUUUCCUGGGUUUUUCAUCCCACGGCGGGGCGAACUGCGCUUGUGCCAGAUCCACAACCCCUCGGGGGCUGGAUGCAGGAGCUGCCUGGGGAAUAUCGCUUUAAAUCAACACGCCCAGCGCUCCUUAUCGAUUGCCCCAUCGGAGCCGCGUGAGGCCCCGGCUUUCCCUGCUCCCGGGGCUGCUGGGCCACCUCGGAGCCGUGCCCCGUGGCCACAGCCAGCAGGAGGGACCCCCAGGACCCCAGGGGACCCCCCCAAAGCCCCGGCAGAGGGAUUUUAGCCAACAAACCCCCGAAUUUACACCUUGCCCUUUUAUCCGUGCGCCAUCUGUGAUUUGCACGGAAUAAACCCACACCCGAUCCCAGCCCGGGCUCUGCCACCGCCGGCAGGGCGCGGAUGCCAUCAGCAGCGGGACAUUCCUGCUGUCCCCAUCUCCGUCCCUCUGCCAGCACGGGGAGCGGGAUGUUCGUGUCUCCUGGCACUCAGCUUCGCCACACGCCCUCCUCCUGCCCUUGCCGUGCAAAUCCUGCAGCUUUCCAGCCGCACCGACGAGCCUUU